CAGCGCCACGAGUGGGAACUGUAAUUAUUGGGCCUAAAGCGUCCGUAGCCUGUUUGAUAAAUUUCUUGUGAAAUUGUUAAGCUUAACUUAACAGCGUGCAGGAAAGACUGUCAAACUUGGGACUGGGAGGGGUUGGAAGUAUCUUUGGGGUAGCGGUAAAAUGCUAUAAUCCUAAAGAGACUACCUAUGGCGAAAGCAUCCAACCAGAACAGGUCCGACGGUGAGGGACGAAAGCCAGGGGAGCAAACCGGAUUAGAUACCCGAGUAGUCC
RNAcentral lists this ribosomal RNA (271 nucleotides) under uncultured archaeon. RNAcentral describes it as "partial 16S ribosomal RNA". It matches the Rfam family "Archaeal small subunit ribosomal RNA", at positions 477 to 747 of the family's 1478-position model. The record is from RNAcentral.